Molecule: ribosomal RNA, 531 nt
Filed under: Paenibacillus jamilae
Lineage: Bacteria; Bacillati; Bacillota; Bacilli; Caryophanales; Paenibacillaceae
Description: bacterial SSU rRNA
Rfam family: Bacterial small subunit ribosomal RNA
Source: RNAcentral
CUUUCCUUCGGGACAGAGGAGACAGGUGGUGCAUGGUUGUCGUCAGCUCGUGUCGUGAGAUGUUGGGUUAAGUCCCGCAACGAGCGCAACCCUUAUGCUUAGUUGCCAGCAGGUCAAGCUGGGCACUCUAAGCAGACUGCCGGUGACAAACCGGAGGAAGGUGGGGAUGACGUCAAAUCAUCAUGCCCCUUAUGACCUGGGCUACACACGUACUACAAUGGCCGGUACAACGGGAAGCGAAGCCGCGAGGUGGAGCCAAUCCUAGAAAAGCCGGUCUCAGUUCGGAUUGUAGGCUGCAACUCGCCUACAUGAAGUCGGAAUUGCUAGUAAUCGCGGAUCAGCAUGCCGCGGUGAAUACGUUCCCGGGUCUUGUACACACCGCCCGUCACACCACGAGAGUUUACAACACCCGAAGUCGGUGAGGUAACCGCAAGGAGCCAGCCGCCGAAGGUGGGGUAGAUGAUUGGGGUGAAGUCGUAACAAGGUAGCCGUAUCGGAAGGUGCGGCUGGAUCACCUCCUUUCUAUGGAGA